This 384-nucleotide ribosomal RNA is filed under the name Triticum aestivum (bread wheat). Its description in RNAcentral is "partial small subunit ribosomal RNA". Lineage: Eukaryota; Viridiplantae; Streptophyta; Magnoliopsida; Poales; Poaceae. The record is from RNAcentral.
UGUGUAUCUGUGCAGGACUACUACUGCCAUAAAUUUCAGAUGUGUCCUGAGAUAUUCAACCCGAUCCUCCAUGGCAAGCGUCUUUUCCAGCACUUCGCAGUUGACACAUAUAUCAAGAUUCAGAACUCUCAGCUAGACUACAUAUGUGGUCUUCAGGAUAGGAUAAGAGCCGACCUAUACCAAGGCUUAGUGGAUAGCUUGCAUUCUGGUGAGGGUAAGGAGGAUGCUAUUGGAAAGCAUACAGUGUUGGGUAUGUCAUUUAUUGGUGGUCCACAGGACAAGAGGCGUCACUACAUGGAUGUUAUGGCCAUGGUGCGGAAGUAUGGCAAUCCUGCUGUAUUCCUCAUAAUGACAUGCAACCCAAACUGGGAUGGCUCACAAUGA